Molecule: long non-coding RNA, 6732 nt
Filed under: Gossypium barbadense (sea-island cotton)
Lineage: Eukaryota; Viridiplantae; Streptophyta; Magnoliopsida; Malvales; Malvaceae
Description: long non-coding RNA (GBAR_LNC022195)
Source: RNAcentral
UUGAAGUGUGCUGUAAUCAAAUUUAUAAGGAGCAUCGAGUAUGGAUUAUAAGAGACAAUAAGUUUAGUGUUUGAUGUUUUAAGGCGAGUGAUGUAUAAUAAUUUUAGUUGAAGAGAGGUCAUGUGAAGUUAAAUUGAUAAAAGAUGGAUUGAAGUUGAUGUAAAACAAUGUAUGUGUUGAAAAGUUUUUACAUAUUAUUAAAAUAUUAUAAAAUAUCAAAAUAUAAAAACGUUACAUAAAUUAUUAAAAUUAGAAAAAUAUAAUAAUUACUACUUAUUUCAUAAAAUUUAAUAAUUUAAUAAAUUCUAUAAAAUUUUAAUAUUUCUUAUAUAAUUUUUUAUUUAAUGUUGAUUUAAGCUUUUUAUGUUUUUGAUUAAUAUUUUAAACAUAUUAAUUAUUUUGGUUAGAUGAUUAGAUAAUUGUGAUUUCAUCCUUUAAUUCCUCCUACAAUCAUUUUAAUAUGUAUUGUACAACACAAUUUAUGCCCGGGCCCAACAAGAAGAAAAAAAUAAGCCGAACAGAAAACCCAAACAGCCCAACACCAAAUAAAAAAGAAGAGAAAAAACCCUAGCCCUAGGUCUUCUGCCGUCAACUGGUUACCUGCCCUCUGUGCGCCGCUGCCACCACCGACCGCCACCAACUCGUCCAUCACCCUGCAAAAGGGAACAAACACGCAAAUAGCAGCGAAAAUGACAGCAAAGAAAUUUAGAAAUAGAUAGGCUAUAAAAGCCAAACAUUACUUUUUGUAUUUGGACUGACAAAAAAGAAAUCAGUGAAUGAAAAGAAAAAAUUAAGAAAAAGGUUGAUUACAUUUCUUCUUCUGUUCUUGUGUGUUCUUUACUUUCUUUAUUUUCCUUAUUUUAUUUUAUUUUAUUUUUGUAUGCUUUACUACCCUUUUUAACAUAAACGAAAUAAAAAAUAUAAGAAAGAGGUACCAGAAUCACCCUGUCGUCUUACCGUCCUGGCCGUCGCCGGAUUUGAAUCGGGAUAAGGGGAUAAGGGGCCUUUCUUUUCGGUUUUGGGGGUCAAAAAACCCGAGUCUUCGGGUUUAUAUUAAAACCCAGGCACCCUUCGCUCCUCGUCAGCCUUUGGUCGCAGUGACCACGGCGAAUCGCCGUUGGAGUCCGCCGGAGCUCGAAAGGGGAUGAAGCGGCUAAAGGAGCAGGGAGGGAAUUUUUUUUUUUUAUUUCUGCUGUUGAAUAAAAGUUAGGUUUUUUUUAGUUUUAUAACAUUUAAAACGGCGCCGUUUAGCCUCCAUGACCCGCGCGCGACCCGACCCGGCCAGGGGAUCCGCGUUUUUCGUUGGAAGGGCUAAUUCACCUUUAGCCCUUCCGAUUUUUAAUGCAUUUUUAAUUGGGUAUCUUUAAAAAUUUUAAUUUUACCCCGUUAUUUUACGGCGAUUUCAAUUAGGUCCAUCCUGGAACGGCGUCGUUUUGAGGGAAAAGGGAAAAUUCUCGUUUUGGCCCCUCACGUUGUGCACGCGUUCAGAAAGAUCCAGCCCAUUCAUUUUUAUUUAUGGAUUUGUCUCAAAGUUUUGUUUUCAACCCAAAUUAGUCCCUUUUCUGUUAUUUUGUUAUUUUUAUUAAUUAACUUAGUUUGUUUUAUAUUUAUUUAUUCCUCACUAUUAUAUUAUUACAUUAUGUUAUAUUUUCGUAUUAUUAUUGUUAUUAUAUUUCUAAUUUAUGAUUUUAUCUAAGUUUAAAUUUAUUAUUAUUUGUUCAUUUAUACCAUUUCAUUUCAUAUUUAACCAUAUAUACAAAGACAUACAUAUCUGUGAUUUAUUUAUAUAUAUACAUACAUACUUCUAUAAUUUAUAUGCUUUAUAAUUUAUAUACAUACAUUAUACAUACUUUUUUUAUAUAAUACAUAUGCAUAAAUACAUACACGUGCACACAUUUUUAUAACUUAUCUAUAUAUAUAUAUAUGUAUUUAUACAUACUUAUAUUUUAUAUUUUAUAAUUUAUCUAUACAUCUAUAUAUACCUAUAUACAUAUUUUUCCUUUUCUUUUUCUCACGAAUAUACAUAUACAUACUUAUAUUUUUAUAACUUUUAUAUACAUAUACAUGUAUAUACAUACUUACAUAAACUUUUAUAUUUAAUAAUUUUAAUAUAUGUAUAUAUUUUUUAUAUUUUCAUAAUUUUAUGUGUAUACACACAUAUAUAUUCCCCUUGUAGUUAUAUACAUAUUUUUAUAUUUUUUAAUUUUGAUCUAUUUCUUUGUUGUUAUUAUUUGUUUUACUUAAUGUUCAUUUAUUUAUUUAUUUUAAAUGUCUUAGUUUUUCUUAUUUACUUGUUAUUGUAUAUACAUGAUUGAUUUGUUUUUUUGUUCAUUUUUUUACUCAUUAUUUUUAUGCACAUUAUCAUAUUUGUUAUUCCAUUAUGCAUAUUAACACCAUACUUCAAAAAGAAAAUUUUCUAAAUGAGGCAAUAUUUAGCAUUUGGAAACUUGAGAAAAUGUGUCCUAAUGUGUUGGGUUUCAAUUUUUUUCGUUUAACCAAAUAGCUAAAAAUCCUUUUAAAAAUUUCAAAAUAAGACAAUGUUUUACGUUUGGAAAUUCGAGAAAACAUGCCCUAAUGUGUUGGGUUUCGAUUUUCUCGUUCGACCAAAUAGCCGAAUACCCUCUUAAAAAAUUCAAAAUAAGGCAAUGUUUGCGUUUGGGAAAUCGAUGAAACGUGCCCUAAUGUGCUGGGUUUCGAUUUCUCGUUGAACCAAAUAGCCAAAUAUCCUUUUAUAUCUUAAUCCAUGUCAUUCAAGUUUUUAAGGAUCGUACUUUAAAUCUCUUUAAAGCGUUUAAUUUUCGACAUUAAGACAUUAACUAAUCAACUAGGUACCAAUUUUUGGGCGUUACGAGGGUGUUAAUCCUUCCUCGUACGUAAUCGACUCCCGAACUCGUUUUUUUUGAAUUUCGUGGACCAAAAUCGUUAUUUUAAUAAAAUUAAAUCAUUUAUUAAAAAUAACCGUUUUUCAAGGUGAUCCGAUCACACUUUAUCAAAAAAGAUUGGUGGCGACUCUCGUUUUUUUCGUUUUUAUUUUUUCAAAAUCUAAGUCGACCCCAUUUUCAUCAAAAAAUGGUGUCAACAUGUAUUUUUUUGUUUCAUGUUGUUUCAAGCUUUUUUUUAAUUAACGUUUAUAAUUAAUAAAUAUAUUGUUUUCAAGUUUUUUUAGUUUUAAUUAAUCUUUUUAAUUAAUAACCCUUUUAUUUAUAAAAUCAAAUAAUUAUUAUAAAUAUCAUUAUUUUUAGUAAAUAUAAUUUUUAUGUGUAAUAUUUAUUUGAUUUUAUAAUAUUAUAAAUCACCACAUCCCCAUAAUAUAGGUAGAAAAAUAAAUAUGUGACAUAUAAAUAUUACACAUAUAAAAAUUAUAUUUACUAAAAAUAAUGAUAUUUGCAAUAAUUAUUUGAUUUUAAAUAUAAAAGAGUUAUUAAUUAAAAAUAAAAAAGAAAACAAUAUAUUUAUUAAUUGUAAACAUUAAUUAAAAAUAAAAAGCUUGAAACAAUAACAUGAAAUAAAAGAUAAAUAUUAAAAUAUUUAUAAAAGGAAUUAAACUUAGGACUUGUGAAUGAAAUCACAAUUAUCUAACUUAAAGAACGAAUGUGUUAAAAAUAUUAAUUGAAAACAUAAAACAAAAAAUAUAAAUGUGAGUAAGAGAAGAAUCGAACUUGAGACUUAAAGAUAAAAACACUAAGAUUUAACUACUAGACCAAAAAAAGCUAAGUUAUAUAUUUUUAAUGAAAAGUGGAAUACGUUUUCUUUUCUUUCCAAAAAUAGCAUAAAUGAUAAAUUAAAAAAAAUAUUUUCCAAAUAAAUUUUUUUCCAACAUAUUUAUAAAAAUUAUCCUUUUUCCAGGAAACUUCCUCAUGUAGAAUACAAUUACGGGUCAGACCAGACGUGUUUCAAACUUAGCCCGAUUAGUCCACCAAUUUCAUUUCUUCAAAAAACAAACAAAAGAGAGGCCAUACAUUAUUUAUUACUUAGUUGCGUAAAGACCACGAUGCUUGAUUUGCUGUCCUCCACUCUUCCUUCUCUUUUCUUGGAAAUUUCAGAAUUUCUAGACCCAAAAAAUUAGGUUAAAAAGAUGUUAUAACUUUGUGUAUUUUUUAUAUUUUAUUUUUUGAAAUUUAUUCUAUUUAUUUUUUAUAUUUCAAAUUUUAAUUUUAAUUGUUAAGAUUGUUAAAUUUAUUGGUGUGUUAUUUUAAAAUAAAAAAAAGAUAUAACUAAAAAGAGACAUAAUAGAAUUCAAAUGAAUAAAAUAAUAUACUUUAAUUUUAAAUUUUGAAAAGUAAAAGAUUAAAACUUACAACAUAAAUAAACGCUUUUACUAAAUUAUAAAGCUUUAAAAUUAGUAGUGGAAUUGAUUAGAUGAUCCGUUCUUAAUUUAAUCAAUUCAAUUGUCAAUUCAAUAAUUAAUUAAUAAUUAAUAAUUUUUUUAUCUCAAUUUUUUGUUUUUUUUUUAUCACUAUCCAUUUGAUCUAUAUCCAAUUUUUUGCCACUAGUCAAACUGAUUUAAUCGACUAAUCUAAUUUGAUUCUAGCAUCACUACUAACUUGCUGCAUAUAAAUAAUUGAAUUGCUGAUUUUUUAUAAUUUGUUUUUUUAUACAUCUUUUGUAUAAAUUAUUGAACCAAUUAUAUAAUGAUAAAAUUAAUUAUAUAAUGCUGUAAUUAGCGAUGUUAAUUAAUAAUAUGUGUCGACCCCUGUGGUCGUCUUUUGCUCAAAAAAGAAAAACAAACUAGAAACAUUAACUUCACGUUUUUCGAAAAUCAAGUUUAUUGACUAAUCAUUAGAGGUGUCCAUGGGCCGGGUCGAAUUGGAUUUAAGUUGGGCCUAAAAAAAUUUCAGGGCCCAGCUCGGCUCAAAUAUGGGCAUGAGAUUUUGUCCAAGUCCAGCCCAGGAAAAAAUAUAGAACCCGAGCCCGGCCCAGCCCGGCCCUUUUUAAAUUAAAAUUAAAACUAAUUAUUAUUAAAAUUAAUUGUUAUCAAAAUUGCAUCAAAUUAUAUUUUUUUUUACUAGUCAACAUUUUAUUAGUAAAAUUAUUAAUUAUUAAUUGUAUUAAUUGUUACUGAAAUUAUCAAAUUAUUAAUUAUUAAUUGUUACUAACAUUUUGUUUGUAAAAUUAUUAAUUGUUAGUAAAUUUAUCAAAUUAUUAAUUGUUAAUUGUAUUAAUUGUUGUAACAAAAUCUAAUAUUUUGUAACUUAAAACUUUUAAUAAAACUAAAACUAAUAUAUUUUAAAAAUAAAAAAUAUAUAUUUAAUAUUUUUCGGGUCGGGCCCGGGCUAAAAAAUUUUGCUCGAAGCCCGGCCCAUUUCUAACCGGGCCUCAUUUUUUGCCCAAGCUCUUAUUUUGGGCCUACAUUUUUACCCGAACCUUCUUAUAUUUCAGGCCGGGCCGGGCCUCCCGACCCAUGGACACCUCUACUAAUCAUCACCUUUCAUAAACCCAUUAAGGCGAUAAAUACUUAUCAGAGUUUUAAAAUUGCUUACCGAAGAUAACCUCUCAAGUGUCCUUGUGUUGGGUAUCGUGAAACUACUAAAAUCAAAAUUACAAUAUGGAGAAUAUCAUGGAACUACUUGCCUAUACGGGUCAAUAUGCAUCACAGCAAGCUAGUUAAUAAUACAAUUUGCCCCCGAUGUGGAGGAGGAACUGAAACAAUCGAUCAUCUAUUCCGCGAAUACCCUGUUUCAGUUGAAGUCUGGACAGCAUUAUCAAUCCCGAAUAUUUUAAUGGAUAGAAAUAUGGAUUUUUUACAGUGGCUUACCUGGGUUUUUGAUUAGUAUCCCACUUUUCACUGUCGACUUUUUUGUUGUGCGCUAUGGGCCAUUUGAGGAGAAAAAAAAUGCUAGAGUGCAUGAAAAGAAAAGGUGCACUGGUUAGGAAAUAACGGCUUCGUUAAUAAUUAUAUUAUUGAACUAAAUGGUAUUGAAAAAAGAAACCUGUAAUUUCAAAGGAGUUUAGAAAAUGGAAUUACCCACCUAGUGAGUUGGUCAAAAUUAAUUUUGACGAUGCAUACAAUGGGCGUCAUUACCAAUCGGCUUCGGGUAUUGUGGCCAGAAACGAUGAAGAGACCGUCCUCUUAUCUUGCUCAGAAAUCCAUCAAGAGGUGGCCUCUGCCUUCGCUGUUAAAGCGCUUGCAUGCCGAAAAGCAGUCCAAAUAGGAAUCGAAAUGCAGCGGCUGGAGAUCAUUAUCGAAGGAAACUCAUUAGCAAUAAUCAAGAAAUGUAAAGCAAAAAGUCAAGAUCGAUCACAGGUAGGAGUGUAUAUACACGAUAUUCAACAGGGAACAACUAGAUCUAGAAAUAUCGUGUUUAAAUAUACACCGAGAUUAACAAAUGCUUUAGCACAUAUGCUAGCAACAGAAUUUUUGAAAAAGAAGGAGGAGGUGUACCUGGUAAAAAGCAUCCCUAGGUAUGCCGAAAACCACAAGGAAAUUGAUUGGGUGCGAGAACCGGACUGAAAAUGGUCGGAGAAGAGAAAAAAAGAAAGGAAAGCCUUAAGUAAGUAGAUGAACAGUUUUGAAAGGAUAGCUUUCCUGAGAACUGAAACCGUCAAAAAGAUAAAAGAUAGGACGGACAUCAAUGAUUUCUAAUUGGGCAAUUUUUCGGUGUUAUUAUUAUUUUUUCUAGAUUACUCUGAAUUUAAGUCUAGGCUAUAUUUUCCUUGGGCCACUUUAAGUCUUUAGGCCAAUUUCAUUGUUUUUCUAUUUUUUCUUUUCUUUUGGACCUUUUGUUAUGUAAU